UAGGCUAUACAGUAAACAUAAUUGCACUCGCCAUUGUCGCUAAAACUGAGCUCAAACCUGAUUGGCUAAAAUCUCAUGCCGCUUGACUCAAAUUUUUCAAGUGCAUACUGUUGAAACACACAUCGAAGUCGGAAAAAAUCCUGGUAAAUUACCCAUUUAGCUAAACUUAUCAAAAGUGCAGAGCUCCCCUGGUGAACAAUGGACCUACACACUGGCACCUGACGGAACGGAAGAGACAAAAAUUGACUGUAGACCACUGGUGAUUUGUCGAAGAUUCGGUACCAUUCGAUUAAGAAUUCUACGAGUUAAUGAGCUUAACUUGAAGACAGUCUGUAAACAAUUUGAAGACGAAAUAUAAGUUUCACAGCUCCACGCAUUCUUUAAUGGCAGGCAUUUUAAAUAACUGGAAAUGGCUUGGAAAAUCAAUUGUGGUCUUGUCUC
Lineus longissimus is the source of this 441-nucleotide long non-coding RNA. RefSeq lists it as uncharacterized. The record is from RefSeq and is a predicted model, not a curated record. The transcript is spliced from 3 exons. NCBI's taxonomy places the organism in Eukaryota, Metazoa, Nemertea, Pilidiophora, Heteronemertea, Lineidae.